Molecule: long non-coding RNA, 462 nt
Organism: Dendroctonus ponderosae (mountain pine beetle)
Lineage: Eukaryota; Metazoa; Arthropoda; Insecta; Coleoptera; Curculionidae
Exons: 3
Source: RefSeq, a predicted model, not a curated record
UCGACCAGGUACAUCGAUUGCGCAAACCUCCAUAAGACACUCCAUCUGGCUGUUAUGAUGAUCUUUUAAAAACUAACGAAGAAACAGAAGCAGAAGUCCCUCGGGAGCUACCAUAAUUUCCAAUUCUUUGCAAUGAUUGAAUUGAACUUUUUGAACGAACUUUGGAAGACAUUCGUUAACAUAAGCUCCAAACUCCUUAAGAAAUAUGCUGACAUUCACUUAAUGUAUGGAAUUGCAGCAUGUGAUGCCGUAGAAGCUAAAAGGCUUUACGAGGAACGAUUUCCAGACCGAAGAGAACCGGAUGGAAAAACUUUUGAAAGAAUAGAUCGUCAUGUAAGAGAGACGGGUUAUAAAAAAAAUUCUGUAAUUGCAAGCCUUGCUUUUAUAUUACCCGUAAAAUGAAACGGAAUUAAUUUAAUAAUAACAAUAAUAGUAGUUAAAUUAAAAGAUAAUAAAAAUCAA